GAUACCAAAAGCUUUAUUAUAAUAUAACUCUACAAAGUUGAACAUAGGCUGAGUCUCUAUGCCUUGAAUGGAGCACUGGAUUGGAUACCCGGGAAACCGGCGCUUCCAUUUAUAAGAAGUUAAAUU
Molecule: small RNA, 126 nt
Filed under: Plasmodium falciparum 3D7
Lineage: Eukaryota; Apicomplexa; Aconoidasida; Haemosporida; Plasmodiidae
Description: Pfa-mtR5750a
Source: RNAcentral